RNAcentral lists this ribosomal RNA (220 nucleotides) under uncultured Glomus. RNAcentral's name for it is "partial small subunit ribosomal RNA". It matches the Rfam family "Eukaryotic small subunit ribosomal RNA", at positions 591 to 817 of the family's 1831-position model. Lineage: Eukaryota; Fungi; Glomeromycota; Glomeromycetes; Glomerales; Glomeraceae. The record is from RNAcentral.
CCAAUAGCGUAUAUUAAAGUUGUUGCAGUUAAAAAGCUCGUAGUUGAAUUUCGGGAUCAAGGGAUCGGUCAUGCCUUGGUAUGUACUGGUCUUAUUGGUUCUCACCUUCUAAAGAACCAUGAUGUCAUUCAUUUGAUGUUAUGGGGAAUUAGGACUGUUACCUUGAAAAAAUUAGAGUGUUUAAAGCAAGCUUACGCUUGAAUACAUUAGCAUGGAAUAA